Molecule: ribosomal RNA, 253 nt
Filed under: uncultured bacterium
Lineage: Bacteria
Description: partial 16S ribosomal RNA
Rfam family: Bacterial small subunit ribosomal RNA
Source: RNAcentral
UACGUAGGCAGCAAGCGUUGUUCGGAGUUACUGGGCGUAAAGGGUGCGUAGGCGGCUUUUUAAGUUUGGUGUGAAAUCUCCCGGCUCAACUGGGAGGGUGCGCCGAAUACUGAAUGACUAGAGUGCGGGAGAGGAGAGUGGAAUUCCUGGUGUAGCGGUGAAAUGCGUAGAUAUCAGGAGGAACACCGGUGGUGUAGACGGCUCUCUGGACCGUAACUGACGCUGAGGCACGAAAGCGUGGGUAGCAAACAGG